GAUGAACGCUGGCGGCGUGCCUAAUACAUGCAAGUCGAACGCGAGCACUUGUGCUCGAGUGGCGAACGGGUGAGUAAUACAUAAGUAACCUGCCUCAAAGAGGGGACAACAGGUUGGAAACGACUGCUAAUACCGCAUAAGCCCACGACCCGGCAUCGGGUUGAGGGAAAAGGAGCAAUCCGCUUUGAGAUGGCCUCGCGUCCGAUUAGCUAGUUGGUGAGGUAACGGCCCACCAAGGCGACGAUCGGUAGCCGGACUGAGAGGUUGAACGGCCACAUUGGGACUGAGACACGGCCCAG
RNAcentral lists this ribosomal RNA (299 nucleotides) under uncultured bacterium. RNAcentral's name for it is "partial 16S ribosomal RNA". It matches the Rfam family "Bacterial small subunit ribosomal RNA", at positions 28 to 334 of the family's 1533-position model. The record is from RNAcentral.